ACUCUCUGUUGACUUGAAUCCACACUCUGGGCUCAGGAUGUAUUUGUGAGUGAUUUUCUUCAUUUAAGAUUUUUCAAUCUUCCCUUCUUUGCAUUUUGCUUGGUUGAAGACAUUGCUAUUAAUGUUGUUUCUUGACACCAAUCCUUAAUUUAGGCCCCACCUCCACCCCCAUGUAUGAGAAGGUUGAGUUGUAGACCGGAGAUGGGAACAUUUCCCAGGGCGCGGUCACAGGCGAGCCUGCUUGUGGCUGAGUCAAAACAGAUGGCGAGUUCCCCAGGAUGGUUAGCCUGAAGCCAGCGCGGCCUCUGCAAGAAGGGCCAACCUCCUGAAGUGUGUCUGUGGAAAGGCAUCCUGCAAGAUGCUACAGCUCUCUAGAGCUGGUGGAUGAGGAAGCGUGGCUUCAAGCGUCAAAUGGGAACAUUUCACAGGUGAAUCGAGAAGCCAUUUCCUGAGGACUUCAAGCUGAAACCAAAGGCUCCUUGUUGUUACAAAGAUCGGGAAUUGCACAUACAGACGCAAAGGAAGACAUCGCAGAAAUGGGAAGAAAGCUGAAAGAACUCACGCAGCAAAUAAAAAACGGGGUCAGAGGCCCCAAGAGAGGAGCUAAGUCCUAAGGCGCCCCCUCCAUCCAGAAGGCAGACAGGGGCUUAGAGAGAAAACGCAGAAGAGAGACGGCAGGCCCCAGUGCUCCUGGGAAGGAGGACUGUCCUUGAACUAUGACCUCGUCUUGGAUUUGGGGUGGGUUUCUUGACGGAGCAUGCCGUCCGAACGUCCGUACCUGAGGUCUUUCAUGUGCUAAGGGAAAAGAGGGACGGGGUCCAAGUUCCGCCAACAGGAGGCACGGGGCUCAUCCCUGACCAUCAAGAACCAAAGAGAAUCAAAAGAUGCAAGUCCUCUGCACCUUGAUUUCUUCCUUUGGAAAACGGAAAUUUUAGCGUCUGCGUGGCCGACUCAGCACCUAUUCCAUCCCCUUCCAGGCUGCCUUCCGGUACCAUCAAAGCUGGGAACCCGAUUUGUCAGACUGCUUUGCCGCCAGGGUACAGGCACGUGACCUGGUUUGCCUGAUCAGUGGCACUGCCUCAGGACUCAGAUGUGGAAGCGAGCAAAGCAAGAAGGCAGCUGCAGGCUGGGAGACCGGACUUUCUGGAAAGCGCCAAGGCAGAGGCCUUGAGCCUUCUGGGAAAACGCGGAGGAAUUUUGCACGUUCAGCUGCAAACACCAGGGUGGUGUCUGGCAGGUGGCAGCCGCAGAGGGCGUCUGCUGGUCUUGCGGUGAAUGGGGGCAUUUUUAGGGCUCUCUGGAACCAAGGCUUGUCCAGGACUGUCUGGGGCUGGGCAGCAUUCGGGCUUCAUCCUUUGGUUGUGUCAGAGAGCCCAUGAGGGACCUAAUACGUAAAGUUUAUAACUGUCUUCGGCGCCAACUUGCUCAUGUGGAUUCUGUUGCCUGAGACUAACGACCCUUCCCUGAACCACGUGCAAAACGUUAGACCAGCGCCAGGCAUGUGGCAAAGCCUCUCCGGACAUCAGCGAACGGUCUGUAUUAUCUGAAUAUUCUACCGAGAGAAUGACACCUCUGCCCUGGUUCAGCAAGCAUGAGUUUAAGAGGCCGUCGGCUUCUCACCCGCGGAACUGAACUCUCAAAGCCCCUCUCCCGGAGGAUGGAAACUUGACCUUGCCAUUCGGAGGCAAACCGUCAAGGUCAGCUGGGCUCAAGCCCAGUCAGUGAAGGCUUCUUCCCCUUUCCCCUCGGACGUGCCCUCCUGGCAUCAGUGGCCUGGGGGCGCCCGUUUCCCCUCCUCAUCCCGUCCCAUCCCACGGGGCAUCCAGGGCUGGUGGAGUCGGCCUGGCCUGUGUGCUGAUCCCUGACAUGUCAUUCUUCUGCGUUCACUGCGCUGACACCGGCUGCCGCUCUGCUCCCUUUGUCAGGUCCCCAAAUAUCACUCCACAUCCCCUCCCCCCUGUCGCCAGGCCUCUCCAGCUUCCUCAGCCAGCUGCCUGUUUGUGUCCCUCCUUGGGGUCCUGGAACCCUCUCAGACCUCAGACCCUCGUCCCUGCCACUCUAGGGCCAGGGUCUGGGGAGGGAGGCAUCUCUGUCAUUGGGGGACUUCACCGGGCACAGUGCCCGCUGAGGCUCCGUCUGGGCAGGGGGUGCAGGUCUCCUCUGCUCUGGAGUCUCCAGCCUUCCCCCACCCUGGCCUGUCGCAGUCCCCGGCACCCUCUGAUCCUCCUCCACACACCUCCUCAGUUUGAGCUCCUGCCUCCUUUUGAGCAGGACCGUUGCCCUUUUGCCAUUGAACGUCCUUUCCCACUCCGUGCUUUAUACUACAGAAUCCAUGCUGAGUCCUCCAGACGCUUAACUUUGUGUAGCUUUAAAAGGUUUGCUCCUCACAUGAAAAGGCCUGGCUUUUUCAAAAUGUAUUCAAGAAUUUCUUCACUGAAUUUCUCUGCAACAUUCACCGGGGGCAGGCGCUCUGCGGGCACGGGAAAGCAGCCGUGGACAGACAGAUGGCUUGCAUUCCAGUGGGGAGAUGAGCAGUGAACACAAGCAUAAGUCAAUUGCUUAUUUGUUUUUGGCGGUGACAAUGCCUUGCAGAAGGCAAAAAGAGACUACAAGACAGAGUGGGGAGGUGGUGGUGCUACACUGAGUAGGAUGUCCAGGAAGGCCUGGUGGGUACUUCACUGGGACCUAAAUGCCAAGAGGAAUCCCUCCAGAAGAGAGGGGUCAAGUUGAGGUCCCCAAAUGGAAGGACAGACAACAGGUGCAAAGGCCCUGAGGCAGGAAUGAGCUUGGUCAUGGUCAAGGAUAAGAAAGAAGGCCAUAUAUCAAAUGCUGAAAACAGUGGGGGAAGAAGAUCAGAAUAGGUCCUCUGAGACCCUUUUAGGCCGCUUGGAAGCUGUGCAUUGUUCUCUUAAAGCUUGCAGUUUUUAAGUAGAGAAGUGAUUUGCAUUUUAAGAAGAUCAUUCUAAUUGCUAAUUAUAAGAGGAGGAGAGAGCAUGGGAGCAGGGAGGAGGCAUCUGUAAGAAGCUGAGUGAGUGAUGGGAGUGGGCUGGACUCAGAGGAUGAAGAUGGCGAGAUGUGGACGGAUUCUGGAUACAUUCUAAGGGAAGGAGUAAAGGAAAGGACUGAAAGAGUUGCUGUUGGGCUGCUGAGGGGGGGACAUGCAGAAAAGAGGGGACCAAAGACGACGUCCACAUAUUUGGCUUCAACCUCUGGUUAGCCCCUGGGACAACUGGACCAGUUUUACAGAAAAGGCAACACUUAGGAAUUAACCCAAAUGCACUUCUUGUACAAGAGCUCUGUGUGUGUGUGUGCAUGCGUGUGUGCAUGCGUGUGUGUGUGUGUGCACGUGUGUGUUGGCUUUAGUUAGUGGAUCUCUCUUCUCUCACUAGGAUGCUGCCGUGCCCAGCAGGCUGGGCAAGGACCAAAGGGAUGGAGAGCACUCACCACCGGCCAGAUGGGCACAGGCUGGCCCACUGCAGCCACCUGCUAAUGAAUACCUGCCUCACGGCAUGCUCACCACGUGCUGGCACAGCAUAUAGCUCCACCCACGUCAAGGGAUGCGAUCCUUAGAGCCGCCCCAUGAGAUGUGUUAUUAUGAAUCCUCAUCUAUGGAUGGGGAAACUGAGGUUCAGAAAGGUGAGGUGACUCUCCCAAGGUCACCAGCUGGUGGGUAGUAGAGCCAGGAUCUGAACUCACGCCACCUGAUUUCAAAGUCUAGGCUGAUCAAGCACCCAUUUCAGCUCCGGUAAGGAAAGGCCGAGCGGGGCAGAGAGCCGCGAAGCUUGUCUUCCUCUUAAUGCAUCUAAAUGGAAAGGCCCUGAGCAAAGUGCCGGCCCUGAGUAAGUGCUCAACAAAUUAUAAUCAUAUCAACUAUUAUUUUUAUUAACACCCAGGAACCAGGCAGGCUGGGGCCCUCCUAGCUCCCUGCUCUGCGGGAGGCAGGAGAUGCAAGUUGGGAAGAAACUGAUUUCCAUCCGAUGCCAAGCCGUCAAAAGUAACUGGCAGGAGAGGGGAGGCCAGACAGAAUAUGUAAGUCUGUCUGUUUCUCUUCACUUGUUGUCACACUAUUAUAGCUAAAGAGGGAAAACUUAGUAAGAAAAAGAGCAUACGUCUGCCUACAUUUUUCUAGAUUUACAUUCUUUUCACUUAUUGGAAAAGGAAAAAAAAAUAAGACCAAAUGUUUAAGGCAUGAAAAAAUCAAAAGGCAAGAGAUAUGGAGGGGGAGAAAUCAGACUGGCAGCUGCGUGGAAACUGAAAAAUGGAAAUGACAGGGAGCGGGCUUCAGCGAUGUGACACCACCGUGCUGGAAUUAACUCCUGCUGUCGGGAGGAGAGAAUGGAGUGACAGGAAGCUGCAGGGGGCGACCCUCCAAAUCCAGGAGGGAAAUGAACCCCAUACACAAAAGGUUGAUGUCCCUGUAGGAAUAAGGAUUCGCCUCCAGGGGGAGAUCGACUCUGUGUGCCCGGAAGAUGUGGUUACACGGCAGGACACAGACAGCGAGAGGCGCUGGGCUGCGCCCACCGGGGAGAUGGAGAACGGAUGUGCACCACCCCGAGGCGGGACAGCUCAGCCUGCCUGACACACGCUCUCCCCUCACAGGGCCUCCAGCGAGGGCUUCUGGAGUCAAAACCAAGCUAUGAAAGAGUAAAUGUACAAAAAAACAAAUAAAAGGAACGUGGUCAGUUGGGCGGAAUUUGACGCAUUUCAAGUCAGGGACUCCAGUAAUCGUUGCCGUGAGAGUUGCCUUUCUGGGAAUGACAGACUCGCGAGGAGGGAAUGGAGCUGAUACCCUAAAUCAGGGGUCGACAAACGUUUCUGAUCUAAAUAAAAUAUUUUAGGGUUUCGGGCUGCCGGGCUCUGUCGCAACUGAGCUGACGCAGUGUGAAAUUAGACAUAGACAACGUGUAAAUGAAUCAGCAUGUAAGUUUUCCAAUAAAAUUUUAUUUAUGGACGUGAAAAUUUGUGUUUCACUGUUAAGAGAACAAAAAGAUAAGCCACAGAUGGGGAGAAAAUAUUUGCAAAAUAUGUCUGAUGAAGGAACUGGUAUCUAAAAUAUUCAAAGAACUCUUAAAACUCAACAGUAAGAGAACAAACAAUCCUAUUUAAAAAUCAGCAGAAGAUCUAGACAGAUGCUCCAUUAAAGAGGAUGUGCAGAUGGCAGAGGAGCACAGGAAAAGAUGCUCAGCACCACACGUCAUCAUGGAAGUGGAAAUUAAAACAACAGUGAGAUACCACUGUCGACUGACCAUGGUGUCUAAAACCCAAAAGACUGACAUCACCAAACGCUGGUGAGGACGGGGAGCAACAGGAACUCUCAGUCGUUGCUGGUGGGGAUGCAAAAUGGUACAGCCACUUUGGAAAGAGAGUUUGGCAGUUUCUAACAAAACUAAACAUACUUUUACCAUAGGAUCCAGCAAAUGCACCCCUUGGUAUUUACCCAAAGGAGUUGAAAAUUUAUGCCCACACAAAUGUUUAUCGCAGCCUUAUUCAUAAUUGCCAAAAAGUGGAAACAACCCACAUGUCCCUCCAUAGGUGAAAGGAUAGACAAGCUGUGGUCCCUCCAGACAAUGGAACGAUAUUCAGCAAUAUGAAGAGAUAAGCUAUCAAGCCAUGAAAAUACAUGGAGGAAGCUUAGAUGCAGAUUACUCAGUGAAAGAAGGCAAUCUGAAAAUUCGACCUACCGCAUAAUUCCAUCUACAUGAUAUUCUAGAAAAGACAAAACUAUGGAGACAGGAAAAAGGUCCAUGGAUGCCAGGACUUUAGGGGGAAGAGAGAGGGAUGUGUGAGUGGAGGCUCUGAUUUUUCGGGCAGUGAAACUACUCGGUGUGAUGCUGCAAUCGUGGGUCCCUGUCAUUAGACAUUUGUCCAAACCCAUCGGUCGUGCAACACCAAGAGUGAGCGCUCGUGAGAACUGCAGACUUUAGCUAACAGUAAAGUGCCAGGACUGGCUCACCCACGGCAGCAACUGUACCCGACUAAGAAGGGAUAAUAAUGACGGGAGAAACUUGAGAGUGGUGGAAGGAAAGGGGUACACAGAAACUCUGUACUUUCUGCUCAAUUUUUCUAUAAACUUAAAACCAGUCAAAACAAAAACAAGAAAAGAAAAAUGUGGAUUUCAUAUGAUUUUCAUGUGUCAAAAAAUUAUGCUUCCUUUGAUUGUUUUCCAACCAUUUAAAAAUGUAAAAACC
This 6188-nucleotide long non-coding RNA is filed under the name Equus caballus (horse). Its description in RNAcentral is "lncRNA (ENSECAG00000032214.2)". Lineage: Eukaryota; Metazoa; Chordata; Mammalia; Perissodactyla; Equidae. The record is from RNAcentral.